This 1372-nucleotide ribosomal RNA is filed under the name uncultured bacterium. RNAcentral describes it as "bacterial SSU rRNA". It matches the Rfam family "Bacterial small subunit ribosomal RNA", at positions 28 to 1381 of the family's 1533-position model. The record is from RNAcentral.
GAUGAACGCUGGCGGCGUGCCUAAUACAUGCAAGUCGAGCGAACGGACGAGAAGCUUGCUUCUCUGAUGUUAGCGGCGGACGGGUGAGUAACACGUGGAUAACCUACCUAUAAGACUGGGAUAACUUCGGGAAACCGGAGCUAAUACCGGAUAAUAUUUUGAACCGCAUGGUUCAAAAGUGAAAGACGGUCUUGCUGUCACUUAUAGAUGGAUCCGCGCUGCAUUAGCUAGUUGGUAAGGUAACGGCUUACCAAGGCAACGAUGCAUAGCCGACCUGAGAGGGUGAUCGGCCACACUGGAACUGAGACACGGUCCAGACUCCUACGGGAGGCAGCAGUAGGGAAUCUUCCGCAAUGGGCGAAAGCCUGACGGAGCAACGCCGCGUGAGUGAUGAAGGUCUUCGGAUCGUAAAACUCUGUUAUUAGGGAAGAACAUAUGUGUAAGUAACUGUGCACAUCUUGACGGUACCUAAUCAGAAAGCCACGGCUAACUACGUGCCAGCAGCCGCGGUAAUACGUAGGUGGCAAGCGUUAUCCGGAAUUAUUGGGCGUAAAGCGCGCGUAGGCGGUUUUUUAAGUCUGAUGUGAAAGCCCACGGCUCAACCGUGGAGGGUCAUUGGAAACUGGAAAACUUGAGUGCAGAAGAGGAAAGUGGAAUUCCAUGUGUAGCGGUGAAAUGCGCAGAGAUAUGGAGGAACACCAGUGGCGAAAGCGACUUUCUGGUCUGUAACUGACGCUGAUGUGCGAAAGCGUGGGGAUCAAACAGGAUUAGAUACCCUGGUAGUCCACGCCGUAAACGAUGAGUGCUAAGUGUUAGGGGGUUUCCGCCCCUUAGUGCUGCAGCUAACGCAUUAAGCACUCCGCCUGGGGAGUACGACCGCAAGGUUGAAACUCAAAGGAAUUGACGGGGACCCGCACAAGCGGUGGAGCAUGUGGUUUAAUUCGAAGCAACGCGAAGAGCCUUACCAAAUCUUGACAUCCCUUGACAACUCUAGAGAUAGAGCUUUCCCCUUCGGAGGACAAAGUGACAGGUGGUGCAUGGUUGUCGUCAGCUCGUGUCGUGAGAUGUUGGGUUAAGUCCCGCAACGAGCGCAACCCUUAAGCUUAGUUGCCAUCAUUAAGUUGGGCACUCUAAGUUGACUGCCGGUGACAAACCGGAGGAAGGUGGGGAUGACGUCAAAUCAUCAUGCCCCUUAUGAUUUGGGCUACACACGUGCUACAAUGGACAAUACAAAGGGCAGCGAAACCGUGAGGUCAAGCAAAUCCCAUAAAGUUGUUCUCAGUUCGGAUUGUAGUCUGCAACUCGACUACAUGAAGCUGGAAUCGCUAGUAAUCGUAGAUCAGCAUGCUACGGUGAAUACGUUCCCGGGUCU